AUACGCGUGAGUGAUGAAGGUUCCGGAUCGUAAAACUCUGUUGUUAGGGAAGAACAAGUGCCAUAGUAACUGAAUGGCACCUUGAACGGUACCUAACCAGAAAGCCACGGCUAACUACGUGCCAGCAGCCGCGGUAAUACGUAGGUGGCAAGCGUUGUCCGGAAUCAUUGGGCGUAAAGCGCUCGCAGGCGGUUCUUUAAGUCUGAUGUGACACUCUUACGGCUCACCCGUACACGUGCAUUGGAAACUGCGGAACUUGAGUGCACAAGACGAGAGUGGACUUCCACGUGUACCGGUGAUAUGCGUACAGAUGUGGAGGAACACCAGUGGCGAACGCGACUCCUUCUGGUCUGUAACUGACGCUGAGGAGCGACAGCGUGGGUAUCGAACAGGAUUACAUACCCUGGAUAGUCCACGCCCGCCACCGAUCAGUGCUAGGUGUCAGGGGG
Molecule: ribosomal RNA, 449 nt
Filed under: uncultured bacterium
Lineage: Bacteria
Description: bacterial SSU rRNA
Rfam family: Bacterial small subunit ribosomal RNA
Source: RNAcentral